RNAcentral lists this ribosomal RNA (900 nucleotides) under uncultured archaeon. RNAcentral describes it as "bacterial SSU rRNA". It matches the Rfam family "Archaeal small subunit ribosomal RNA", at positions 1 to 878 of the family's 1478-position model. The record is from RNAcentral.
CUCCGGUUGAUCCUGCCGGACCCGACUGCUAUCGGAUUGGGAUUUAGCCAUGUUAGUUGUGCGUUCCUUGGCUACAGGGGACGCAGCAUACGGCUCAGUAACACGUAGUCAACCUGCCCUGGAGACGUGGACAAACCCGGGAAACUGGGGCCUAUCCGCGAUAGAUGACCUCAUCUGGAAGGAGUGGUCGUCCAAAGGGCGGCACGGGUAUGCUCCGUGCCUUUCGCUCCAGGAUGGGACUGCGGCCGAUCAGGCUGUUGGCGGGGUAAUGGCCCACCAAACCUGUAACCGGUACGGGCUUUGAGAGAAGGAGCCCGGAGAUGGACACUGAGACAAGGGUCCAGGCCCUACGGGGCGCAUCAGGCGCGAAAACUUCGCAAUGCGCGAAAGCGUGACGAGGUUAAUCCGAGUGACUCCCGCUGAGGGGGUCUUUUGUCAGCUGUAAAUAGGCAGGCGAAUAAGGGGAGGGCAAGCCUGGUGUCAGCCGCCGCGGUAAUACCAGCUCCUCGAGUGGUCGGGGCGAUUAUUGGGCCUAAAGCAUCCGUAGCCGGUUCCGUAGGUCCUCUGUUAAAUCCAACCGCUUAACGGUUGACCUGCAGAGGAUACCGCGGGACUAGGAGGCGGGAGAGGCGGACGGUACUCCGCGUGUAGGGGUAAAAUCCUUUGAUCCGCGGAAGACCACCAGUGGCGAAGGCGGUCCGCCAGAACGCGCUCGACGGUGAGGGAUGAAAGCUGGGGGAGCGAACCGGAUUAGAUACCCGGGUAGUCCCAGCCGUAAACGAUGCUAGCUAGAUGAUUCAUUCGCAAGUCGCGAAUGAAGUGUCGCAGGGAAGCCGUUAAGCUAGCCGCCUGGGGAGUACGGUCGCAAGACUGAAACUUAAAGGAAUUGGCGGGGGAGCA